This 445-nucleotide ribosomal RNA is filed under the name Engaeus victoriensis. RNAcentral describes it as "partial 16S ribosomal RNA". It matches the Rfam family "Archaeal large subunit ribosomal RNA", at positions 2009 to 2653 of the family's 2987-position model. Lineage: Eukaryota; Metazoa; Arthropoda; Malacostraca; Decapoda; Parastacidae. The record is from RNAcentral.
CGCGGUAUCUUGACCGUGCGAAGGUAGCGUAAUCAUUAGUCUCUUAAUUGGGGGCUUGAAUGAAGGGUCGGACGAGAAAUAGACUGUCUUUAUUGAAAAAAUGGAGUUUAACUUUUAAGUGAGAGGGCUUAAAUAUUCUAAAGGGACGAUAAGACCCUAUAAAGUUUAACAUUUUUAUUCAUUAAAAGAUAAAGAAGGUGGAUAGCUUCUAUUAGUGAGAAUAAUGUUUGGUUGGGGUGACCGAAAUAAAAAGAAUUUAAUUGUUUUGUGUUGGUACAAAUAUGUUUGUGAUAGUUGAUCCUUAGUAGAGAUGUUAGAGUAAAUUACUUUAGGGAUAACAGCGUAAUUUUUUUUGAGAGUUCUUAUUGACAGAAAAGUUUGCGACCUCGAUGUUGAAUUAAAGAAUUCUUUAUGCCGCAGAAGCUAUAAAAGAAGGUCUGUUCGA